GCCGGUUUGGCUCAGUGGGUAGAGCGUCGGCCUGCGGACCGAAGGAUCCCAGGUUCGAGUCCGGUUAAGGGCA
Molecule: transfer RNA, 73 nt
Filed under: Myotis lucifugus (little brown bat)
Lineage: Eukaryota; Metazoa; Chordata; Mammalia; Chiroptera; Vespertilionidae
Rfam family: tRNA
About the family: Transfer RNA (tRNA) molecules are approximately 80 nucleotides in length. Their secondary structure includes four short double-helical elements and three loops (D, anti-codon, and T loops).
Source: Rfam by way of RNAcentral